RNAcentral lists this ribosomal RNA (253 nucleotides) under uncultured bacterium. RNAcentral describes it as "partial 16S ribosomal RNA". It matches the Rfam family "Bacterial small subunit ribosomal RNA", at positions 524 to 776 of the family's 1533-position model. The record is from RNAcentral.
UACGUAGGUGGCUAGCGUUGUUCGGAAUCACUGGGUCUAAAGGGUGCGUAGGCGGGCUAUCAAGCAAGUGGUGAAAGUCCAUGGCUUAACCAUGUGAUUGCCUUUUGGACUGAUAGUCUGGAGUGCAGGAGGGGAGAGCAGAAUUCCCGGUGUAGGGGUGAAAUCUAUAGAUAUCGGGAAGAAUACCGGUCGCGAAGGCGGCUCUCUGGUCUGCAACUGACGCUGAGGCACGAAAGCGUGGGGAGCGAACCGG